GGAAAAUGAGCCACAGGUGAGUUGGAAGCAGGUGAUUUAACAGUGAGAAAACCACACACGCACACUUGCGCAAUGUUGUUCCUAAUGAAGGCAUUCUGUCGAGCGAAGUGAACUUCGGCUGAUACGCGGCGCGUGGGGAGCAGGGGGCAGUGAACGCUGGGACUCUGUCGAUCAGAACGCAGCUCAAGAAUGAACACCCAAGACUAAAAACCAGGUGAUUAUGUGAUUUUUCUAUCAAAAUGCAAUAAAUAUACAUCAAAUUAAAUAGAGAUAAAUGUGAAUUAAUGUGAAUAACAAAUUAAAUAUAAAUUAAUUAACUAACUAAUGAGUGAGUGAAUGAAUGAAUGAAUUAAUGAAUAACUUUGCAACUAGGAUACACACUGCAUUCUUUAUUAAAAAAAAAAAAAUUGCAGACAUAACAUACCAAAUUUAAAGUUUGGACAGUUGCAUAUUAUUUCCAAUAUAAUGGAAAUGUAUAAUAAUUUUAACUGAUAAUAAAGUUUAACUUUAUUUUAACUUUAAGUACAGAGUA
Puntigrus tetrazona (Sumatra barb) is the source of this 532-nucleotide long non-coding RNA. RefSeq lists it as uncharacterized. The transcript is spliced from 3 exons. The record is from RefSeq and is a predicted model, not a curated record. Lineage: Eukaryota; Metazoa; Chordata; Actinopteri; Cypriniformes; Cyprinidae.